Molecule: non-coding RNA, 1045 nt
Organism: Megalopta genalis
Lineage: Eukaryota; Metazoa; Arthropoda; Insecta; Hymenoptera; Halictidae
Source: RefSeq, a predicted model, not a curated record
UCCGAGGCGAGCGUGCGAGAUAGCCGCCUCCGCGCCGGAAGUCGCGCGAGUAAGCUGGAUAUACUCGCCCCGAGUCACCGGGCCUUCGCUUAACCAGCCCGGCAGACAAUUCCUGUUCGUCAGAGAUCUUCAGAGAUCGGAAACAAGAGCUUCAGCGUCUUCGGAACUUCGCAGUGGAAGCCGUUCGAGCCGAUCGAGCCGCGCAACAGGAAGCCGAAGAAAGGGGAUGAAACCGGCAACGACACGAUUUAUCGUCCAUUCGGCGGAUCGUCGCGGGUCGGCGCGCUCGUCAUAAAAUCGGCGAACAGCGGCGCGGCGGUCAGAGAGAAAAAAAAAGGUAUAUGUGUCUUGGAAGUUGCCGAACGACCGAUAGCGAUUUGAUCGUCGCCGCAGCGAGAGGACAGCUGUCGGCGAAACGCCUGGCCAAACCGAGAGAAGACGUAUUACACAUAUCGCUACCGAAGAGACGGGCCUGCGUGGUUGCAUAAGAUAGGCACAUUCGUGAUCUACCCUGUAGAUCCGGGCUUUUGUAGAAUUGUAAAUAUCAGAAGCUCGUCUCUACAGGUAUCUUACGGAUGACAUGCCACGCGACUCUAGAUUGCAAUGCAUGGCGGUCGACGCGAACGUUUGUAAAUCACGCCCUGUGUCGUCCCCCGAGCUUUGUUGAAAAUGUCCUGUUUCACGAUAAACAAACGAUAAAUAGAAACGAAGAACGGGCCGUUCGCCGCUUAAUCGACGUUUAGAGAGUUUCUCCAUGGCAUAGUUGUCGAUAGGUUCACCUGUGAAAUGUACUUAAAACUUAGAACUAGAUUGCGUUGUUUAGGAGCUUCACUAUGUCCCUAGAUCGUACGUAAUUGUUUGUCAUUGUUCAUUCAUCAGUUGUAUUCUAGGACCUGAAAUAAAAUGUCGACCAAAAUACGGAGUCUGCUGAUUACCGCGGCGCUUUGGACUUCGCCGUUUUCUCGUACGAUUGUAGCGCGAAUGCGAGCGAUGUAUACUGUGGUGUUUUGAAAUAUAAAGAAACCUGCAAACGACGAUGUUGUUA